CACUGGCUCCUUUCUGGGUAGA
This 22-nucleotide microRNA is filed under the name Macaca mulatta (Rhesus monkey). Its description in RNAcentral is "mml-miR-892b". Its record names the gene mml-miR-892b. RNAcentral also lists the same sequence under 3 other names. The record is from miRBase by way of RNAcentral. Lineage: Eukaryota; Metazoa; Chordata; Mammalia; Primates; Cercopithecidae.